UACGUAGGGUGCAAGCGUUGUCCGGAAUUAUUGGGCGUAAAGAGCUCGUAGGCGGUUCGUCGCGUCGGCUGUGAAAACCCGGAGCUCAACUCCGGGCCUGCAGUCGAUACGGGCGGACUUGAGUGUUGCAGGGGAGACUGGAAUUCCUGGUGUAGCGGUGAAAUGCGCAGAUAUCAGGAGGAACACCGGUGGCGAAGGCAGGUCACUGGGCCGCAACUGACGCUGAGGAGCGAAAGCAUGGGGAGCGAACAGG
This 253-nucleotide ribosomal RNA is filed under the name uncultured bacterium. Its description in RNAcentral is "partial 16S ribosomal RNA". It matches the Rfam family "Bacterial small subunit ribosomal RNA", at positions 524 to 776 of the family's 1533-position model. The record is from RNAcentral.